UCCUGGCUAGUUCAGUUGGUAGAUAGCUCCACUGGAAAUGGAGAAAUCCCUUGUUCGACACCAGGACCAGGCG
This 73-nucleotide transfer RNA is filed under the name Ixodes scapularis (black-legged tick). RNAcentral's name for it is "tRNA-Ser for anticodon GGA". The record is from RNAcentral. Lineage: Eukaryota; Metazoa; Arthropoda; Arachnida; Ixodida; Ixodidae.